RNAcentral lists this small RNA (29 nucleotides) under Arabidopsis thaliana (thale cress). RNAcentral's name for it is "ATSL016260". The record is from RNAcentral. Lineage: Eukaryota; Viridiplantae; Streptophyta; Magnoliopsida; Brassicales; Brassicaceae.
AGUUGUAUAUACAAAGCGGCUCGAGGAGC